AGAGUUUGAUCCUGGCUCAGAAUGAACGCUGGCGGCGUGCCUAAGACAUGCAAGUCGUACGAGAAAGUAGCAAUACGAGUAAAGUGGCGCACGGGUGAGUAAUACUUGGGUGAUGCGCCUCUUCGCUGGGGAUAACUAGACGAAAGUUUAGCUAAUACCGAAUAGUCCACUGAAUUCAUUUUCUUUGGUAAAGCCGUAAGGCGCGGAGAGAGUAGCCCAAGUCCCAUUAGCUAGUUGGUAGGGUAACGGCCUACCAAGGCGACGAUGGGUAGUCUGGUCUGAGAGGACGAUCAGCCACACUGGAACUGGAACACGGUCCAGACUCCUACGGGAGGCAGCAGUUAGGAAUUUUGCGCAAUGGGGGAAACCCUGACGCAGCAACGCCGCGUGGAGGAUGAAGGCCUUCGGGUUGUAAACUCCUUUUAGCUGGAAAAAACAAAAUGAUGGUACCAGCAGAAAAAGCACCGGCUAACUCUGUGCCAGCAGCCGCGGUAAUACAGAGGGUGCAAGCGUUAUUCGGAAUCACUGGGCGUAAAGAGCGCGUAGGCGGCCCGCUAAGUCAGAUGUGAAAUCCCUGGACUCAACCCAGGAACUGCAUCUGAUACUGGUGGGCUAGAGUGUAGGAGAGGAAGGCGGAAUUCCAGGUGUAGAGGUGAAAUUCGUAGAUAUCUGGAGGAACAACAGAGGCGAAGGCGGCCUUCUGGACUACUACUGACGCUGAGGCGCGAAAGCGUGGGGAGCAAACAGGAUUAGAUACCCUGGUAGUCCGCGCUGUAAACGAUGGAUACUAGAUGUCGGGAGUUCUUACCCUCUCGGUGUCGCAGCCAACGCAUKAAAUAUCCCGCCUGGGAAUUACGGCCGCAAGGUUAAACUCAAAGGAAUUGACGG
Molecule: ribosomal RNA, 888 nt
Filed under: uncultured bacterium
Lineage: Bacteria
Description: bacterial SSU rRNA
Rfam family: Bacterial small subunit ribosomal RNA
Source: RNAcentral